This 468-nucleotide ribosomal RNA is filed under the name uncultured bacterium. Its description in RNAcentral is "partial 16S ribosomal RNA". It matches the Rfam family "Bacterial small subunit ribosomal RNA", at positions 28 to 507 of the family's 1533-position model. The record is from RNAcentral.
GACGAACGCUGGCGGCGUGCUUAACACAUGCAAGUCGAACGGAAAGGCCCUGCUUUUGUGGGGUGCUCGAGUGGCGAACGGGUGAGUAACACGUGAGUAACCUGCCCUUUACUUUGUUAUAACUUCAGGAAACUGGUGCUAAUACCGGAUAGGAGCUCCUUCUGCAUGGUGGGGGUUGGAAAGUUUCGGAGGUUGGGGAUGGACUCGCGGCUUAUCAUCUUGUUGGUUGGGUAGUGGCUUACCAAGGCUUUGACGGGUAGCCGGCCUGAGAGGGUGACCGGCCACAUUGGGACUGAGAUACGGCACAGACUCCUACGGGAGGCAGCAGUGGGGAAUAUUGCACAAUGGGCGGAAGCAUGAUGCAGAAACGCCGCGUGCGGGAUGACGGCCUUCGGGUUGUAAACCGCUUUCGCAUGUGACGAAGCGUGAGUGACGGUAAUGGGUAAAGAAGCACCGGCUAACUACGUG